RNAcentral lists this ribosomal RNA (761 nucleotides) under uncultured bacterium. RNAcentral describes it as "bacterial SSU rRNA". It matches the Rfam family "Bacterial small subunit ribosomal RNA", at positions 28 to 776 of the family's 1533-position model. The record is from RNAcentral.
GAUGAACGCUAGCUACCGGUUUAACACAUGCAAGUCGAGGGGUAACGACAGCGAAAGCUUGCUUUUGCUGGGCGACGACCGGCGCACGGGUGAGUAACGCGUAUCCAACCUGCCCAUAACUAAGGGAUAAUCCGUAGAAAUGCGGUCUAAUACCUUAUGUGUUCCGACGAAGACAUCUGAAUUGGAAUAAAGAUUUAUCGGUUAUGGAUGGGGAUGCGUCUGAUUAGAUUGUUGGCGGGGCAACGGCCCACCAAGUCUGCGAUCAGUAGGGGUUCUGAGAGGAAGAUCCCCCACAUUGGAACUGAGACACGGUCCAAACUCCUACGGGAGGCAGCAGUGAGGAAUAUUGGUCAAUGGGCGAGAGCCUGAACCAGCCAAGUAGCGUGCAGGACGACGGCCCUAUGGGUUGUAAACUGCUUUUGUAUGGGAAUAAAGUGCUCCACGUGUGGAGUUUUGUAGGUACCAUACGAAUAAGGACCGGCUAAUUCCGUGCCAGCAGCCGCGGUAAUACGGAAGGUCCGGGCGUUAUCCGGAUUUAUUGGGUUUAAAGGGAGCGUAGGCCGUGGAUUAAGUGUGUUGUGAAAUGUAGGCGCUCAACGUCUGACUUGCAGCGCAUACUGGUCCACUUGAGUGCGCGCAACGCGGGCGGAAUUUGUCGUGUAGCGGUGAAAUGCUUAGAUAUGACGAAGAACCCCGAUUGCGAAGGCAGCUCGCGNGAGCGCAACUGACGCUGAAGCUCGAANGUGCGGGUAUCGAACAGG